UACGUAGGUGGCAAGCGUUGUCCGGAUUUAUUGGGUUUAAAGGGUGCGUAGGCGGCCCUGUAAGUCAGUGCUGAAAUAUCCCAGCUUAACCGGGAGGGUGGCAUUGAUACUGCGGGGCUAGAGUACAGAUGAGGUAGGCGGAAUUGACGGUGUAGCGGUGAAAUGCUUAGAUAUCGUCAAGAACACCUAUAGCGAAGGCAGCUUACUAGGCUGUAACUGACGCUGAGGCACGAAAGUGUGGGGAUCAAACAGG
This 253-nucleotide ribosomal RNA is filed under the name uncultured bacterium. Its description in RNAcentral is "partial 16S ribosomal RNA". It matches the Rfam family "Bacterial small subunit ribosomal RNA", at positions 524 to 776 of the family's 1533-position model. The record is from RNAcentral.